UACGAAGGUGGCAAGCGUUGUUCGGAUUUACUGGGCGUACAGGGAGCGUAGGCGGUUGGAUAAGCCCUCCGUGAAAUCUCCAGGCUUAACCUGGAAAGUGCAGAGGGGACUGUUCAGCUAGAGGAUGGGAGAGGAGCGCGGAAUUCCCGGUGUAGCGGUGAAAUGCGUUGAGAUCGGGAGGAAGGCCGGUGGCGAAGGCGGCGCUCUGGAACAUUUCUGACGCUGAGGCUCGAAAGCGUGGGGAGCAAACAGG
RNAcentral lists this ribosomal RNA (253 nucleotides) under uncultured bacterium. RNAcentral describes it as "partial 16S ribosomal RNA". It matches the Rfam family "Bacterial small subunit ribosomal RNA", at positions 524 to 776 of the family's 1533-position model. The record is from RNAcentral.